RNAcentral lists this ribosomal RNA (301 nucleotides) under uncultured bacterium. RNAcentral's name for it is "partial 16S ribosomal RNA". It matches the Rfam family "Bacterial small subunit ribosomal RNA", at positions 509 to 807 of the family's 1533-position model. The record is from RNAcentral.
CAGUAGCCGCGGUAAUACGUAGGGUGCGAGCGUUAAUCGGAAUUACUGGGCGUAAAGCGUGCGCAGGCGGUUAUAUAAGACAGAUGUGAAAUCCCCGGGCUCAACCUGGGACCUGCAUUUGUGACUGUAUAGCUAGAGUACAGUAGAGGGGGAUGGAAUUCCGCGUGUAGCAGUGAAAUGCGUAGAUAUGCGGAGGAACACCGAUGGCGAAGGCAAUCCCCUGGACCUGUACUGACGCUCAUGCACGAAAGCGUGGGGAGCAAACAGGAUUAGAUACCCCUGUAGUCCCUGUCUCUUAUAC